Molecule: non-coding RNA, 73 nt
Organism: Phrynosoma platyrhinos (Desert horned lizard)
Lineage: Eukaryota; Metazoa; Chordata; Lepidosauria; Squamata; Phrynosomatidae
Source: the annotation of a GenBank genome assembly
GCCAGAGUGGUAUAGUGGUUUGAGUACUGGAUUAGGACUCCAGGAAUCCAGGGGUCACAUCCCUGCUCAUCCA